AACCCAAUAAUCUUAUCAAGAAAAUAUCAAUCACAUGCGGCCCCUGUUAUCCCCAGUCGGCACCUAUCCAUGUUCACACGUAUAAAAAAAGUCCAAACUUCACACCCGGUGACUUGCCAACCCACGACCUUUCUUCCAAACCAGAGCCGGAGAAAGAGGCCAAAAAAAGGACAUGGGUAUAGUAGAAGAAGCUCAUAAUGUGAAGGUCCUGGGCACAGGAGAGCAGGUGCUAGUUCUGGCUCAUGGAUUUGGCACCGAUCAAUCUGUUUGGAAGCACCUUGUCCCUCAUCUUCUUGACGAUUUCAAAGUCAUUUUGUAUGAUAAUAUGGGUGCUGGUACUACAAAUCCUGAUUACUUCGAUUUUGAUAGAUAUUCCAGUCUCGAAGGCUAUGCUUAUGAUUUGCUUGCCAUUUUGGAGGAAUUUCAAGUCGAAUCUUGUAUUUUAGUUGGUCACUCUGUUUCUGGUAUGAUUGGCGCUAUUGCCUCCCUUAGCCGCCCAGAUCUCUUCUCCAAAAUCGUUAUGAUCUCUGCUUCUCCAAGGUAAAUUCUUCAUUUUUAGCCCAAUGAUUUGUUUCUACACAAAAUCAUGGUUGAGUUUUACCACCCAAUUGUGUUGCUGCAAUGUGCAUAGAGUAGGACAAGCAUAAAAGUUUGUGAAAAAAAAAAAAAUCAUGGUGAACUUUUCGAAGUGGCUAAAAUAGAAGUUGAUUAUUGACUUUUAUAUAUAAAUUGAUACAUCAUGGCGAAGUUUGUGGUGGGUACUUAGAAUUAUAUUAUUUUUUAAUUAGAGAUUAAUUAAUUUUAUGCUUAAAGAUGCCUGUUGAAACUUGCUAUUCAUUGUUUAAUAUGAUUUUGUUAUAGUAUUACUUGGAUCUUUGCUUAUUUGGAUCUUUGCAUUUGUGGAUUAUCAGCCAGCCACCCUCCACUCGGUAUCUUUGCAUUUGUUUCUUUCGUAAUUGGCUUGUUUCACGUGGAUUCAUUAGAAUAAUGACAUUAUAACUUAAAUAAAACUUAAGUAAAGUCUUUUGGUGAUUGUGUUAAACUUAAAACCUACCCUGUUCUAUCAAUUGCAUAGGUAUUUGAAUGAUGUGGACUAUUAUGGAGGAUUUGAGCAAGACGAUCUAAACCAACUAUUUGAAGCAAUGCAAUCCAAUUACAAGGCAUGGUGCUCAGGGUUCGCACCCCUAGCCGUGGGUGGAGACAUGGACUCGGUGGCAGUUCAAGAAUUUAGCCGCACCCUCUUCAACAUGAGGCCAGACAUAGCCCUAAGUGUAGCACAAAACAUAUUCCAAAGUGACAUGAGACAAAUUUUACAUUUGGUCACUGUGCCUUGUCGCAUCUUGCAAAGCAUGAAGGACUUGGCUGUACCAGUGGUUGUGUCUGAAUACUUGCAUCAACACAUCAGCGGUGAGUCGAUCGUUGAAGUCAUGCCAUCAGAUGGUCAUUUGCCUCAACUGAGCUCGCCGGACGUUGUGAUUCCAGUGCUUCUUAGGCAUAUUCGUUCUGAUAUUGCUGCCUAAUUAAAAUCUUUUAUAUAUAUGUACUCUUCAUGUCUUUGUUAUAAUGGAUUUUUGUGUUUGCUUCGGUUUUUAAUUUCCUGUUGAUGGAACUACUUUGAUCGUUAAUUAGUUUCCUGGAAAGGAAGUUGGCAAAUGGAUAUGCCUUGAUCGUAAGGUCCCCUGUAUUUGUCUUGAAAAAUUGUCAUGGCUUGAUGGUAAGGUGGCCUGUGUUUGUCUUUUUAAAGACUUUAUAAUAAAAUGUGAUAUGUAAGGUGGUGUA
RNAcentral lists this unclassified non-coding RNA (1779 nucleotides) under Hevea brasiliensis (rubber tree). Lineage: Eukaryota; Viridiplantae; Streptophyta; Magnoliopsida; Malpighiales; Euphorbiaceae. The record is from RNAcentral.